AAAUUGAAGAGUUUGAUCAUGGCUCAGAUUGAACGCUGGCGGCAGGCCUAACACAUGCAAGUCGAACGGUAGCACAGAGAGCUUGCUCUCGGGUGACGAGUGGCGGACGGGUGAGUAAUGUCUGGGAAACUGCCUGAUGGAGGGGAAUAACUACUGGAAACGGUAGCUAAUACCGCAUAACGUCGCAAGACCAAAGAGGGGGACCUUCGGGCCUCUUGCCAUCAGAUGUGCCCAGAUGGGAUUAGCUAGUAGGUGGGGUAACGGCUCACCUAGGCGACGAUCCCUAGCUGGUCUGAGAGGAUGACCAGCCACACUGGAACUGAGACACGGUCCAGACUCCUACGGGAGGCAGCAGUGGGGAAUAUUGCACAAUGGGCGCAAGCCUGAUGCAGCCAUGCCGCGUGUAUGAAGAAGGCCUUCGGGUUGUAAAGUACUUUCAGCGGGGAGGAAGGUGUUG
This 457-nucleotide ribosomal RNA is filed under the name Enterobacter kobei. Its description in RNAcentral is "bacterial SSU rRNA". It matches the Rfam family "Bacterial small subunit ribosomal RNA", at positions 1 to 456 of the family's 1533-position model. Lineage: Bacteria; Pseudomonadati; Pseudomonadota; Gammaproteobacteria; Enterobacterales; Enterobacteriaceae. The record is from RNAcentral.